GAUGAACGCUGGCGGCGUGCCUAAUACAUGCAAGUCGAGCGAACGGACGAGAAGCUUGCUUCUCUGAUGUUAGCGGCGGACGGGUGAGUAACACGUGGAUAACCUACCUAUAAGACUGGGAUAACUUCGGGAAACCGGAGCUAAUACCGGAUAAUAUUUUGAACCGCAUGGUUCAAGAGUGAAAGACGGCCUUGCUGUCACUUAUAGAUGGAUCCGCGCUACAUUAGCUAGUUGGUAAGGUAACGGCUUACCAAGGCAACGAUGCAUAGCCGACCUGAGAGGGUGAUCGGCCACACUGGAACUGAGACACGGUCCAGACUCCUACGGGAGGCAGCAGUAGGGAAUCUUCCGCAAUGGGCGAAAGCCUGACGGAGCAACGCCGCGUGAGUGAUGAAGGUCUUCGGAUCGUAAAACUCUGUUAUUAGGGAAGAACAUAUGUGUAAGUAACUGUGCACAUCUUGACGGUACCUAAUCAGAAAGCCACGGCUAACUACGUG
RNAcentral lists this ribosomal RNA (497 nucleotides) under uncultured bacterium. RNAcentral describes it as "partial 16S ribosomal RNA". It matches the Rfam family "Bacterial small subunit ribosomal RNA", at positions 28 to 507 of the family's 1533-position model. The record is from RNAcentral.